GGGGCUGUAGCUCAGUAGGCAGAGCACCUGGCUUUUAACCAGGGUGUCGUGGGUUCGAUUCCCAUCAGCCUCG
RNAcentral lists this transfer RNA (73 nucleotides) under archaeon. RNAcentral describes it as "tRNA-Lys". It matches the Rfam family "tRNA". From Rfam's summary of the family: Transfer RNA (tRNA) molecules are approximately 80 nucleotides in length. Their secondary structure includes four short double-helical elements and three loops (D, anti-codon, and T loops). The record is from RNAcentral.